UAGCCGUAAACGAUACUCGCUAGGUGUCGGCCACGGUGCGACCGUUGUCGGUGCCGUAGGGAAGCCGUGAAGCGAGCCACCUGGGAAGUACGGCCGCAAGGCUGAAACUUAAAGGAAUUGGCGGGGGAGCACCACAACGGGUGGAGCUUGCGGUUUAAUUGGAUUCAACGCCGGAAAUCUUACCGGGACCGACGGCUAUAUGAAGGCCAGGCUGAAGACUUUGCCGGAUUAGCUGAGAGGAGGUGCAUGGCGUCAGUGACU
This 261-nucleotide ribosomal RNA is filed under the name uncultured archaeon. RNAcentral's name for it is "partial 16S ribosomal RNA". It matches the Rfam family "Archaeal small subunit ribosomal RNA", at positions 748 to 1008 of the family's 1478-position model. The record is from RNAcentral.